CCCCUUCCCCCCCCCCCCAAGAUAAAAGAUGGCCGGAGACCGGACCGUGUGUCCUCGUGGGUCAUGAGCAAAUGUUUGUUUGCUUGCUUGCUUGGUCCCCCAAAAAUGAACGGCGUGUUCGGUCCACAGAGUCGCUUGCGGUGGUGGAUGAGAGCAAAAAAACUGCUCCAGCGACUGUAUAAAUUUUUUCCUGCCACCAAAAACCCAGGCUCUCUGAAACGGACAGCAGGUGGCGGUGCGGGACCGCGGUUGAGUCCAGUUUAGUGAAGAGAUCGGGGUGGAAGAAGUAAUUCGGGGCUCAGAAGCAGUCGGACGGCAAGAGGAAAAGGACAAAAUCAAGACGAAAGGAUAACGAGCAGAGCGGGAUGCCACCGAAGCAAGGGCUGACGAAAAGGCCAAGUUCCACAGAAGCGGCCUACAGAUGAGUAAAUUUUCAUGCAUCUGUAAGGGCAGAUGAGGACGGAGCCUCGGUUGAGCGUAGGCGCGGUUUGUCAGGAAGGCAGGUUGUAGAGGUUUCGGUUGGACUCGGUUUGGUCGGUAGGAUUGUAGAAUGGCGGUCGAGGUAGUUGUUGGCUCGGUCUGGAGCGGUGAAGAGCGCAGGCUUUGAAAUGAGGACUUGCUAGCGAGCGACGCAAUGUUUGAGUAUCAAUCAACAGGUCAUCGGCGCCAAGGUCAACCCGGAGUGGCAUCAGGUGAGUGUGCAAUUGAAAUA
Long non-coding RNA from Syngnathoides biaculeatus (alligator pipefish), 712 nucleotides. RefSeq lists it as uncharacterized. The record is from RefSeq and is a predicted model, not a curated record. The transcript has 6 exons. Lineage: Eukaryota; Metazoa; Chordata; Actinopteri; Syngnathiformes; Syngnathidae.